Long non-coding RNA from Anguilla rostrata (American eel), 602 nucleotides. RefSeq lists it as uncharacterized. The transcript has 4 exons. NCBI's taxonomy places the organism in Eukaryota, Metazoa, Chordata, Actinopteri, Anguilliformes, Anguillidae. The record is from RefSeq and is a predicted model, not a curated record.
AAUGAGAAUUAACUUUAUUUUCAAGAGAAUAAUGUGUUUGUCAAAAGCAAAUACAUACACUUGCUGCCACUUCAGUGUCUGUUUUAUUUUGUCUUAUUUUAUGUUUUGAAGGGCCUCAACCUUACCACACUGACUUUGCCAAGCACUCCAUGUGUCAUCAUCCUUGGUGAUGAACGGUAUCACAUGGCUGUUGACCAGACGAUUGUGAACGACCAUGUCCACAGCCCAUUGACUGCAUUGAGCUAUUUAUUUAGUCUGUACUAUGUGCUCAAUAUACGAUAUCCAAAGGAUGCAGCUUUGUCACUGGAGUUUAUGCAAAGAAGUCUCCUGGGGAUCAAUCCUGGACGAGGGUCCAAAGCAGAGCAGAUAGGGAAAAAGGCGCACAAGAUUCAUCCUAAAUUGUUAAAGUUCCUCUCUGAACUAAGUGACUACCAAAAUCCAUGGAGAAUCUAAUUGAGUUCAUGCAGGAGUCUCCAGGUGUGUGUCUCUCACUACUGCAGUGCACCACAGUGGCCAAGGAGAGAUGACAAACUCCACGCUGUUCUACUGGAGCCAGUGCCACCAUGUGUGUGUGAGGUUAAGCAGUGUGUUUGUGUGUGAGA